AGGAGCUCUCGCCUCCUCUCAUUUCUACUCCGCCCCGGCAACGUCGGCAAUAGAAAAUGAACAAGUGAAGGCCUGGCCUGGCUGUGAUACAAGCCUGAUUGGCAUGUGCGCCCAUGACUGCGAGCGGCCGCAGCCGAGCCGACGUCGUGGAGGGGAGCAACAGCCAGCACAACUGCCGGCCGGCCAGCCAGCGGGGCGGAAACCAUAGGAAAAGCGUGCCAUGUCGUGCAUGCACGCACGCACGCACGCACAGGAACAAAAAGCCACGCUCGCAGUUGGCUUUACCGUCCCCAACCCCUCCCCCUAAAAAAUCCCGGUCGUUGCUUUCAGCUGGCUUUAUUUCACGGAAGAAAAAGGAAUUCCUCCUCAAUCCCCUUUUCGUACUACUAGUUUGGAUUUGGAGUAGUGCUAGUAGUGUGGGAGUGCUAGUUUACUGCUCGCAGGCAGCUGCGGCAUCCGGCAUCCCCCAUCUCGUCCUUGUCCUUCCCUCCCUCACUUGGCUUGCCCGCAUCCGCAUCCGCGUGCACCAGUCGCCACCGAUCGUGCGUCGGUUGCUCUCUCCACAUCCAGCGGAAAACUACGCCUCCCCCACCGCGCGCAGCCCCCUCCCUCCCUCCCUCGUAUCUCCGUAUCUCCGGGUCGGGGGUGGGUGAUGCGGUGAGGCGAGGUGUACUCUGCUUUCCCUUUUCGGCGGGGGCAGCAGCAGCAGCGGCAGCUUGAUCGGAGAGGGAGGGCGGCGGAGUCGUGCGCGCGCGACGGAGCGGAGCGGGCGGCCAUGGCCGCGGCGGCGGCGAGGUGCAUGAACGCGGCGUGCGGCGCGCCGGCCCCGACGGCGGCGGGGGUGGGCGAGUGGCGGAAGGGCUGGCCGCUGCGAUCCGGCGGCUUCGCCGUGCUCUGCGACAAGUGCGGGUUGGCGUUCGAGCAGCUUGUCUUCUGCGAUAUAUUCCACCAAAAGGAGUCUGGUUGGAGGGACUGUUCGUUUUGUGGGAAGCGUCUCCAUUGCGGCUGUGUUGCUUCGAAGAAUUCCUUUGAUCUGCUUGACAGCGGAGGAGUUCAAUGCGUGAAUUGCAUGAAGAAUCCAGGACCUCAACCUGUUCCAUGUCAAGUGGCUCCAAAGCUUUUUUUACCUCCUCAAAAUAACCAGAGACUCUUUGGUAAAAGCGAUGAAUUUUUGCCAGGUAGACCGUUGGAGUCGCCGUCCCUUAUGCUCGAUUCCAGAAAUGAUGAUAUUGCUAUUAUAGCUAAGAGCAAUCAUCCAUUCAUGGUAAAAAACUUGGAAAUUGGGCAAAGCAGUAACAUUUUGAGGCAAAAGGAAAUUGAAAAUGGCGCAAGGCAGAUUAAGUGGGAGCAACCAACACUCAGUAUUGGGGACAUGGGAAGGAUGCCUUUCUUAAUUAGGCCUCAGAGUGCAUUAGAGUCUCCCCAAUCCCAGUGUACACGAAGAGAUGAUAAUAGAGACCCGACAGCCGAUAGCACAACAAGUGAAUCAAUUUCAGAGGCAGGCCUCAGUAUGAGCUUGGGCAUUGCUAAUAAUGGAAACAAGAUGGAGGCUACUUCAACUAUGGAAAGACCCAUGGUGUCACCAACAACACCGUUUUCUGAAGGAAGAGAACUUGCCACUACAUUAUCUCCAUUUCAGCAUGCGCAGAGGGCUCGGCAUUUUCUCACCAGACCACCAAGGGUUGCCGAAGGUGCUGCUUUCGACCCAAUGAGAGAUGGUUUUCCACAUCUUCGUGUUGCCAGACCACCUGCUGAAGGAAGGGGUCGCAAUCAAUUACUUCCACGGUAUUGGCCAAGAAUAACAGAUCAAGAGCUGCAGCAAAUUUCUGGAGAUUCGAAUUCAACCAUCGUUCCACUGUUUGAGAAGGUUCUAAGUGCUAGUGAUGCAGGCCGCAUAGGACGACUUGUUCUUCCAAAAGCCUGUGCCGAGGCCUAUUUCCCACCAAUCUCUCAGCCAGAAGGUCGUCCCUUGACAAUUCAAGAUGCAAAAGGCAAAGAGUGGCAUUUUCAGUUCAGAUUCUGGCCAAAUAACAACAGCAGAAUGUAUGUCUUGGAGGGUGUUACGCCAUGCAUACAGUCCUUACAAUUACAAGCUGGUGAUACAGUGACCUUCAGUCGGAUAGAACCUGGAGGGAAACUUGUUAUGGGCUUCCGAAAGGCCACAAACACUGUCAGUUUGCCAGACUCACAGAUUUCAGCCAUUGCAACUGGUUCCCUUCUCGGUGAUUCAUUCUUUUCUAACACAAAUGAGAAUCUAUCCAUAGUAAGUGGUUACUCAGGAUUUCUUCAGUCAAUGAAGGGAGCUGCAGAUCUCCAGCCAAGCUCUCUAUUUGAUCAUCAUGCCAACUCAGCUGAUGGGGAUGUUAGUUGGCUUAAGGCAGAUAGAUUUGGUGGCAGGCCAGAUGAGGGGUCUUUUCAGUUUUUACACAAAAGAAGCCGCAAUAUUGGUUCCAAAAGCAGGAGGCUUUUGAUGGAUAACGAGGAGGCCCUGGAACUGAAGCUUUCCUGGGAAGAGGCACAGGAGUUGUUGCGUCCUGCUCCAUCUGCAAAACCAACAAUUGUGAUGAUUGAGGACUAUGAAUUUGAAGAAUAUGAUGAACCUCCUGUCUUUGCAAAGAGAUCAAUUUUCACCAGUCGUUCUACAGGGGAACAAGACCAAUGGAUUCAGUGUGAUGAUUGCUCAAAAUGGCGUCGUGUGCCUCUUAAUGUCAUUAUUGCCUCCAAGUGGAGAUGUGCUGACAACACAUGGGAUCCAAAAAGCUGUUCCUGCUCUGCACCUGAAGAAUUAGCCCACAAGGAGUUACAAAGUAUUCUCCAGCAGUACGAAGAGAUCAGGAGGCGGAAGAGCAACUAUUUCUUGAAGCAGAGCAUCCCCGAAAUGGAUGCGUCGAGCCUUGACGCCUUGGCCACUGCCGCAGUCUUUGGGGAGGUCGGGAACCAAGGCGCUGCUUCGGUUGCAACGACCACCAAGCACCCCCGGCACCGGCCCGGCUGCACUUGCAUAGUGUGCAUCCAGCCGCCCAGCGGCAAGGGGCCGAAGCACAACCCGGCGUGCACUUGCAACGUGUGCAUGACCGUCAGGCGCCGUUUCAAGACGCUCAUGAUGAGGAAGAAGCAACGGCAGUCGGAGCGAGAGGAGGCCGAGGCGAGCAAGAGGAUCGCUUGGGUGGGCAGGGACGAGCCCGAGGGAAGCAACCUGUCGCGGUCCCCCCGGACGGUGGACACCACGCGGGACUGCGACGUGAUCAUGUUCGACAAGGCCGACGCGAACAAGGGCCACAUAGACCUCAACUUCCACCCCGCCAGCCGCGAGGAGGAGCAGCAGCACGGCGGCCAGCCCCGGGUGAGCAUGGUCAGCCUACUUGAGGUCGCGAACCGCCCCCUGGAGAGCUACAUGAAGCAGAACGGCCUCGUGAGCCUGGCGGCGGAGCAGGGGAGCAGCUCCGGCACGGCCACGGUCCCGUCUCAGCCCGCUCCGAUGGAGAGCGAAGAGCGGCCCUCCGACGAGGGGCGUGCCGUGGCGGUGGAGCAGGAGCGAGAGCCCGUGGACAACAUGGCCGUGGACGAGGCAGCCGGUGAGAACCAGGGCCAUGCUGCCAGUGCCAGUGACAUCGCUGCUGCCUGACCUGAGCUUGUUGACCAUGCGCCUGUGUUAGUGGGUGGGUGUUUGUAAUUUGUUUGUGUGUGUGUAUGAUCGGCUUACCCCCUUUUUUCCCCAAGGAACAGCUAGUGCGUUUUGAUGUGAAGAUCAAAAUGAUAGGGUUUCCUCGUGUUGGUGUAACAUACGUGUACAGGGCUGUGCAACCUCGUUUGUACUAAAGUUGUAAGCUCGGUUGGUAUGAAAGGCAGCUUGGUGGCUGGCUGGUUGGUGUUGUUCCCCACGCCUAAGAGCAACUCCAACGGGCUGCUGACCCAAACGGACACCGA
This 3927-nucleotide ribosomal RNA is filed under the name Triticum aestivum (bread wheat). RNAcentral's name for it is "partial small subunit ribosomal RNA". The record is from RNAcentral. Lineage: Eukaryota; Viridiplantae; Streptophyta; Magnoliopsida; Poales; Poaceae.